GACGAACGCUGGCGGCGUGCCUAACACAUGCAAGUCGAACGGAGUCAUAUUCAACACGGAGUUUUCGCGGGAGCGAGGGCCGCGUGUUGGAUAUGACUUAGUGGCGGACGGGCGAGUAACGCGUGAGCAACCUGUCCUUAAGAGGGGGACAACGGCUGGAAACGGCCGCUAAUACCGCAUAACAUCACGAAGGCGCAUGCCGUUGUGAUCAAAGGAGCGAUCCGCUUAAGGGUGGGCUCGCGUCCGAUUAGCUAGUUGGUGAGGUAAAGGCUCACCAAGGCGACGAUCGGUAGCCGAACUGAGAGGUCGAACGGCCGCAUUGGGACUGGGAGACGGCCCAGACUCCUACGGGAGGCAGCAGUGAGGGAUAUUGGGCAAUGGGGGAAACCCUGACCCAGCAACGCCGCGUGAGGGAAGAAGGUCUUCGGAUUGUAAACCUAAGUAGUCAGGGACGAAGGAAUGACGGUACCUGAAGAGUAAGCUCCGGCUAACUACGUGCCAGCAGCCGCGGUAAUACGUAGGGAGCGAGCGUUGUCCGGAAUUACUGGGUGUAAAGGGUGCGUAGGCGGGCUGUCAAGUCAGAUGUGAAAUACCGGGGCUUAACUCCGGGGCUGCAUUUGAAACUGAUGGUCUUGAGUGAAGUAGAGGCAGGCGGAAUUCCUAGUGUAGCGGUGAAAUGCGUAGAUAUUAGGAGGAACACCAGUGGCGAAGGCGGCCUGCUGGGCUUUAACUGACGCUGAGGCACGAAAGCAUGGGGAGCAAACAGGAUUAGAUACCCUGGUAGUCCAUGCUGUAAAC
RNAcentral lists this ribosomal RNA (798 nucleotides) under uncultured bacterium. RNAcentral's name for it is "bacterial SSU rRNA". It matches the Rfam family "Bacterial small subunit ribosomal RNA", at positions 28 to 807 of the family's 1533-position model. The record is from RNAcentral.